GAAUGAUGUAAUGAUUUCAGGAGCUCAGUA
RNAcentral lists this non-coding RNA (30 nucleotides) under Rattus norvegicus (Norway rat). Lineage: Eukaryota; Metazoa; Chordata; Mammalia; Rodentia; Muridae. The record is from RNAcentral.